GACGAACGCUGGCGGCGCGCUUAACACAUGCAAGUCGAACGGAAAGGCCCUGCUUUUGUGGGGUGCUCGAGUGGCGAACGGGUGAGUAACACGUGAGUAACCUGCCCUUGACUUUGGGAUAACUUCAGGAAACUGGGGCUAAUACCGGCUAGGAGCUCCUGCUGCAUGGUGGGGGUUGGAAAGUUUCGGCGGUUGGGGAUGGACUCGCGGCUUAUCAGCUUGUUGGUGGGGUAGUGGCUUACCAAGGCUUUGACGGGUAGCCGGCCUGAGAGGGUGACCGGCCACAUUGGGACUGAGAUACGGCCCAGACUCCUACGGGAGGCAGCAGUGGGGAAUAUUGCACGAUGGGCGGAAGCCUGAUGCAGCAACGCCGCGUGCGGGAUGACGGCCUUCGGGUUGUAAACCGCUUUCGCCUGUGACGAAGCGUGAGUGACGGUAAUGGGUAAAGAAGCACCGGCUAACUACGUG
Molecule: ribosomal RNA, 468 nt
Filed under: uncultured bacterium
Lineage: Bacteria
Description: partial 16S ribosomal RNA
Rfam family: Bacterial small subunit ribosomal RNA
Source: RNAcentral